Molecule: ribosomal RNA, 1936 nt
Filed under: Chitinophagales bacterium
Lineage: Bacteria; Pseudomonadati; Bacteroidota; Chitinophagia; Chitinophagales
Description: partial 23S ribosomal RNA
Rfam family: Bacterial large subunit ribosomal RNA
Source: RNAcentral
UUUAAAGCAACUAAGGGCACAUGGCGGAUGCCUAGGGUCUGAGAGGCGAUGAAGGACGUGGUAAGCUGCGAUAAGCUAAGGGGAGCUGCACACAAGCGUUAUAUCCUUAGAUUUCCGAAUGGGACAACCUAACAUACUGAAGGUAUGUUACUCGAAAGAGAGCCAACCCCGAGAACUGAAACAUCUAAGUACCGGGAGGAAAAGAAAAUAACAAUGAUUCCCUGAGUAGUGGCGAGCGAAAAGGGAAGAGCCUAAACCGAAUCGGCGUGCCGAUUCGGGGUUGUAGGACUGCAUUUAGAAGUGAUCAUCAAACUGAACCCUCUGGAAAGUGGGGCCAUAGCAGGUGAUAGCCCUGUAAGUACAAAUUGAUCAGGACGAGCAGUAUCCUGAGUAAGGCGGGACCGGAGGAAUCCUGCCCGAAUCCACCAGCACCAUCUGGUAAGGCUAAAUACUCCUCAGACACCGAUAGUGAACCAGUACCGUAAGGGAAAGGUGAAAAGCACCCUGAACAAGGGAGUGAAAUAGUACCUGAAACCGUGUGCCUACAAGCGGUCGGAGCAGCGCAAGCUGUGACGGCGUGCCUUUUGCAUAAUGAACCUACGAGUUGCUCCUAACUGGCGAGGUUAAGUUCUUAUUUAACGGAGCCGAAGCGAAAGCGAGUCCAAAUAGGGCGGUUAGUCAGUUGGGGCAGACGCGAAACUUUGUGAUCUAUCCAUGGGCAGGUUGAAGGUGUGGUAACACACACUGGAGGACCGAACCCGUUGACGUUGAAAAGUCUUGGGAUGACCUGUGGAUAGGGGUGAAAGGCCAAUCAAACUGAGAGAUAGCUCGUUCUCCCCGAAAUGUUUUUAGGAACAGCCUCGGAUUCUGAAGUAUGUUAGAGGUAGAGCUACUGAUUGGGCUAGGGGGCUUCACCGCCUACCAAACCCUGACAAACUCCGAAUGCUAACAUAUAUCUCCGGGAGUGAGGCUGCGGGCGCUAAGGUCCGUGGCCGAGAGGGAAAUAACCCAGAUUAGCAACUAAGGUCCCUAAUACGUAGUUAAGUUGAACAAACGAGGUGGGGCUUCUAUAACAGCCAGGAUGUUUGCUUGGAAGCAGCAAUUCAUUUAAAGAGUGCGUAACAGCUCACUGGUCGAGAGGCCCUGCACGGAAAAUGAUCGGGCAUCAAACUACGAACCGAAGUUCUAAAUUCUAGCUUGCUAGAGUGGUAGGGGAGCAUUGAAAUCUGCAUCGAAGGUGUACGGCGACGUAUGCUGGAGCGAUUUCAAAAGAAAAUGUAGGUAUAAGUAACGAUAAAUGGAGUGAAAAACUCCAUCGCCGUAAGUCUAAGGUUUCCUGAUCAACGUUAAUCGGAUCAGGGUUAGUCCGGUACUUAGGCAAACCCGAAAGGGGUAGCUGAUGUCAAGCAGGUUAAUAUUCCUGCACCUGCUAUACAAUGAAAGUGACGCAGAGACGUGGUGGUUGCGUACUGACGGAAUAGUGCGCUGAGUGGAGUCUUCGGACGAAGCGAAACCAUAAAAUCUCUGCCAAGAAAAGCGAGUAUAGCAGCCGGUACCGCAAACCGACACAGGUAGACGGGAUGAAUAUUCUAAGGCGCUCGGGUGAGCCGUGGAGAAGGAACUAGGCAAAUUGUGGCUGUAACUUCGGGAUAAAGCCAACCACCUUCUGGGUGGUCUCAGUAAAAUGGUUCAACCAACUGUUUAACAAAAACACAGGGCCCUGCAAAAUCGUAAGAUGACGUAUAGAGCCUGAAACCUGCCCGGUGCUGGAAGGUUAAGGAAGGGUGUUCGACGCAAGUCAAAGCUCCUGACUGAAGCCCCAGUAAACGGCGGCCGUAACUAUAACGGUCCUAAGGUAGCGAAAUUCCUUGUCGGGUAAGUUCCGACCUGCACGAAUGGUCUAAUGAGUUGAACACUGUCUCCUCCACGAGCCCGG